RNAcentral lists this ribosomal RNA (156 nucleotides) under Microascus melanosporus. Its description in RNAcentral is "5.8S ribosomal RNA". It matches the Rfam family "5.8S ribosomal RNA". From Rfam's summary of the family: 5.8S ribosomal RNA (5.8S rRNA) is a component of the large subunit of the eukaryotic ribosome. It is transcribed by RNA polymerase I as part of the 45S precursor that also contains 18S and 28S rRNA. Functionally, it is thought that 5.8S rRNA may be involved in ribosome translocation. The record is from RNAcentral. Lineage: Eukaryota; Fungi; Ascomycota; Sordariomycetes; Microascales; Microascaceae.
AACUUUCAACAACGGAUCUCUUGGUUCUGGCAUCGAUGAAGAACGCAGCGAAAUGCGAUAAGUAAUGUGAAUUGCAGAAUUCAGUGAAUCAUCGAAUCUUUGAACGCACAUUGCGCCCGGCAGCAACCUGCCGGGCAUGCCUGUCCGAGCGUCAUU